UACGGAGGAUGCGAGCGUUAUCCAGAUUUAUUGGGUUUAAAGGGUGCGCAGGCGGAUUUUUAAGUCAGCGGUCAAAUCGUGGGGCUCAACCCCGUCGAGCCGUUUGAACUGGCGCGCUUGAGUUCAGGCGAGGUAGGCGGAAUUCGUGGUGUAGCGGUGAAAUGCAUAGAUAUCACGAAGAACUCCGAUUGCGAAGGCAGCUUACCAGUCUGCGACUGACGCUCAGGCACGAAAGUGUGGGUAUCGAACAGG
Molecule: ribosomal RNA, 252 nt
Filed under: uncultured Bacteroidales bacterium
Lineage: Bacteria; Pseudomonadati; Bacteroidota; Bacteroidia; Bacteroidales
Description: partial 16S ribosomal RNA
Rfam family: Bacterial small subunit ribosomal RNA
Source: RNAcentral